Molecule: long non-coding RNA, 462 nt
Organism: Coregonus clupeaformis (lake whitefish)
Lineage: Eukaryota; Metazoa; Chordata; Actinopteri; Salmoniformes; Salmonidae
Exons: 3
Source: RefSeq, a predicted model, not a curated record
UGAGGGAACUGGCGGCCAAUCAGGACCUAAUGAAUCUCAACAGCAAUCUGAGUACAGCCAAUCACAUAUUGCAGAGUGAUUAUAGCAAUGUUAGCACUGCAAACCAACGUUUAGCGGCUGAGAAAGAAGAGGUGUCAAGAGAGAGGGAUAGACUGAACUGGAAUCUUCAGGUCAUAUAUCAGCUUGAUGAUUUUCCUGUCAAGAAAUAUUGUUCACAAAAAGAUGGCACAGGAGUUGUUACCUGAUUUUGCACCCUGCCGCUCCAUGGAAGACCUGGACACAAAGCCAACAAUAUUGCAAACAAGAGAAUGCUGAUUUGGCUGUCAUUGGCAGCCAAGAGGAACAGGAAUUCAUUAGUAACCACACUCAACACUACUAUGAUGAACAUCAUGGGUACUGGAUCGGCCUGACUGACAAAGCUAAAGUCGGCCAAUGGCUCUGGGUUAACGGAAGUAAUCAGAA